Molecule: long non-coding RNA, 343 nt
Organism: Fukomys damarensis (Damara mole-rat)
Lineage: Eukaryota; Metazoa; Chordata; Mammalia; Rodentia; Bathyergidae
Exons: 3
Source: RefSeq, a predicted model, not a curated record
AGGGAUUGAACUUGGGUCCUUGCAUUUGUGAGAAGUACCUCCACUCCCACUCCAACUGACACCAUCGAAGUUAACAACACUGUUGACCACUAAAAUGAAAGCUGGCGAGUUGACAGAAGUAAUGUGGAGAUUGUCUCAACACACUUCCUCCCCCUUCUCUCUCGUUUUAUUUUUGGCAUAAUCUCUGGUACUACAAUUUUAUACAGAGUGCAACAUCCUGUGCUACACUUGGUUUGGACUUUAGUUUUGUAUCUUGGAGUAAAUUCAACGAGAACAAGCAGGACUGACCUGAUUUGCAUCCUCACUGGCAGCAUCUGGGAGAAAAAUGCAGAAACCAGAGUUA